CAGUGCAAAUUUAUAUCAGCUGGUUCAGUCACAACUGAUGGCCUAAAAAAGGUGUCUCAUGACCAAGGUGACACACAAGAAACAUCUCAUGAUAAAUUAAAGCAAAGAACUCAUUCAAG
This is a long non-coding RNA of Thalassophryne amazonica, 119 nucleotides long. RefSeq lists it as uncharacterized. The record is from RefSeq and is a predicted model, not a curated record. The transcript is spliced from 4 exons. Lineage: Eukaryota; Metazoa; Chordata; Actinopteri; Batrachoidiformes; Batrachoididae.